Molecule: ribosomal RNA, 432 nt
Filed under: uncultured bacterium
Lineage: Bacteria
Description: partial 16S ribosomal RNA
Rfam family: Bacterial small subunit ribosomal RNA
Source: RNAcentral
ACGCACGCUGGCGGCAUGCCUAACACAUGCAAGUCGAACGAGACCUUCGGGUCUAGUGGCGCACGGGUGCGUAACGCGUGGGAACCUGCCCUUAGGUUCGGAAUAACUCCCCGAAAGGGGUGCUAAUACCGGAUAAUGUCUUCGGACCAAAGAUUUAUCGCCUUUGGAUGGGCCCGCGUUGGAUUAGCUAGUUGGUAGGGUAAAAGCCUACCAAGGCGACGAUCCAUAGCUGGUCUGAGAGGAUGAUCAGCCACACUGGGACUGAGACACGGCCCAGACUCCUACGGGAGGCAGCAGUGGGGAAUAUUGGACAAUGGGCGAAAGCCUGAUCCAGCAAUGCCGCGUGAGUGAUGAAGGCCUUAGGGUUGUAAAGCUCUUUUACCCGGGAUGAUAAUGACAGUACCGGGAGAAUAAGCUCCGACUAACUCCGUG